GGACACUACUCUGGAGAGAUCCCGGCCUAUCCGGGACGCCGAAGGGAUAACGAUCUCAGGCGCAAAGGACAGAGGGGGCAUC
RNAcentral lists this non-coding RNA (82 nucleotides) under Paracoccaceae bacterium. RNAcentral describes it as "Rhodobacteraceae bacterium Glycine sequence". It matches the Rfam family "Glycine riboswitch aptamer". From Rfam's summary of the family: This family represents the bacterial glycine riboswitch. Lineage: Bacteria; Pseudomonadati; Pseudomonadota; Alphaproteobacteria; Rhodobacterales; Paracoccaceae. The record is from RNAcentral.